AUUGAACGCUGGCGGCAUGCCUUACACAUGCAAGUCGAACGGCAGCACGGGAGCAAUCCUGGUGGCGAGUGGCGAACGGGUGAGUAAUAUAUCGGAACGUGCCCAGUCGUGGGGGAUAACGUAGCGAAAGCUACGCUAAUACCGCAUACGAUCUAUGGAUGAAAGCGGGGGAUCGCAAGACCUCGCGCGAUUGGAGCGGCCGAUAUCAGAUUAGGUAGUUGGUGAGGUAAAGGCUCACCAAGCCGACGAUCUGUAGCUGGUCUGAGAGGACGACCAGCCACACUGGGACUGAGACACGGCCCAGACUCCUACGGGAGGCAGCAGUGGGGAAUUUUGGACAAUGGGCGCAAGCCUGAUCCAGCAAUGCCGCGUGCAGGAUGAAGGCCUUCGGUGUAACUGCUUUGUUACGUACGAACGGUAGAGCGUCUAA
Molecule: ribosomal RNA, 430 nt
Filed under: uncultured bacterium
Lineage: Bacteria
Description: bacterial SSU rRNA
Rfam family: Bacterial small subunit ribosomal RNA
Source: RNAcentral